CGACAACUACUAAAUUUAAAUUUUAACAAUGUAGUGCCAGGAUACUCGCCACAGUGUCCCCAAUUACGGCGAGUCCUUAAUAAUUACAUCUAAAUCACGUUAAUAUUAGUAUUGAAUAAUCUAAUAACAGACAACUGACAUUACGCUUAACAAAACAUAACAUACAACAAAACAUAACAUACAUGCAACUAGCAACAUCUUAAAACACCGUCCAGGGACCUCGCCCUUCUACAUUUAACACAUAUCGACUUCCAUGUGCGUGGAUCGUCACAAUGGUAUAUUUUGGAUAGCGCG
Paramuricea clavata is the source of this 294-nucleotide non-coding RNA. The record is from the annotation of a GenBank genome assembly. NCBI's taxonomy places the organism in Eukaryota, Metazoa, Cnidaria, Anthozoa, Malacalcyonacea, Plexauridae.